GGAUAACGUGAUUAGUACGGACGACGCCUUCGGGAUCGUUAGUAUAGCUAUAAACUGGGCGUUUGUGUAAUGCGGGUUUGUAGUAAUUAAUCAUGCUCAAAAAUAAUCCAACGUCGCCUGGGACUGACACUAUACGCUAUGCAAUGGUUUCAAUGUAACUUCAUGUAAUUCAAGGAACUAGGAGAACAUCGGGUUUUCCUAGGGUUUUCAAUACAUACAGAUUUGAAAUGCAUACAACUUCAAUGAACAUUUUUUUUACAAGUAUAGAAACAAACAAGCAUACUUAUGGAUCUUCACAAACGUUUUCAAAAGCUUCUCUUUUCAGAAAAUAUCGGAUUUUCUGGUGGUUUUCAAACGAUACGAAACAUUGUUUUUCAAAUACAACUUAUGAACUCACCAACAUUUCAUAUGUUGACGUUUUUCAAAAUACUUGUAUUCUCAGGGAACCAGUGAAUCAAAGGAAAUCGUAUUCAGUGAUGGCUUGCAGUUUAUUUAUGUACGAAUCGAACAAUUUAUUUUGGGAAUGUAAUGUUUAAACAAUGUACUUCAUGUAAACUUUACUGGUUGUACAAUAUUAAUGCAUGGUGACGAAUGUUGUUACGUUUCAUAUAUAUACAAUGUUAUGGUAUUCAAUUGAGUCACGACAGCCCCCGAACGUUUCCGCCGCCUGGUUUGGGGGUGUGACAGGUUGGUAUCAGAGCUUUGUUUAUAGUGAACUAGCAUGUCGAGCCACACAUUGAUAUGCAACUAUAAACCAAAAAGAGGGACUAACAUAACUCUGAACAAAACAAGUAAAUAAAACACGCUUGCUUGCAUUAGGAAUAAGGACCUAACGCAGAAUCAAACACAAUAAUGCUAGUAUCUCGGUUAAUUCGGGACUGUUCUUAGUGAUACCAAGGAGUGAAUGUAGCCUGAUCAACUACAUUCUCUCCAAAGUAAAACUAACACACGUCUGGAUGAGAUCGAGAUAGCUAGGGAACCUAAAACUAUACCCUUUAUCACCAACAAGAGAACGUUUGCUUAGUCUGUACAAUAGUCAUAGCACCUAGGAAUAAUGUUAGCAUAUUUACGUACUCGCGCAGACAGCAUGGCUGGUUUUCAUCACCCUGGAGACCCCUAUUUCCCUAAUCAGGGAAACAACGGGUGGCUAGAGGAGGAGGAGCCUGAGGAAGAGCCUGAAGAGGAACCUGAGGAAGACCCCGAAGAAGAAUCUGACGAAGAACCGGAACCUGAGGAAGACCCCGAAGAAGAAUCUGACGAAGAACCGGAGGCAGAAGCCGAGGGCGAGCCUGCCG
Molecule: long non-coding RNA, 1295 nt
Filed under: Lactuca sativa (garden lettuce)
Lineage: Eukaryota; Viridiplantae; Streptophyta; Magnoliopsida; Asterales; Asteraceae
Description: long non-coding RNA (LSAT_LNC004391)
Source: RNAcentral